UACGUAGGGUGCAAGCGUUGUCCGGAAUUAUUGGGCGUAAAGAGCUCGUAGGCGGUUUGUCGCGUCUGCUGUGAAAACGCGAGGCCUCAACCUCGCGCCUGGCAGUGGGUACGGGCAGACUAGAGUGCGGUAGGGGGAGAUUGGAAUUCCUGGUGUAGCGGUGGAAUGCGGCCAGAUAUCAGGAGGAACACCGAUGGCGAAGGCGA
Molecule: ribosomal RNA, 206 nt
Filed under: uncultured bacterium
Lineage: Bacteria
Description: partial 16S ribosomal RNA
Rfam family: Bacterial small subunit ribosomal RNA
Source: RNAcentral